This 253-nucleotide ribosomal RNA is filed under the name uncultured bacterium. RNAcentral's name for it is "partial 16S ribosomal RNA". It matches the Rfam family "Bacterial small subunit ribosomal RNA", at positions 524 to 776 of the family's 1533-position model. The record is from RNAcentral.
UACGUAGGGUGCGAGCGUUAAUCGGAAUUACUGGGCGUAAAGGGUGCGCAGGCGGCGUCGCAAGUCAGGCGUGAAAUCCCCGGGCUUAACCUGGGAACUGCACUUGAAACUACGAUGCUGGAGUAUGGCAGAGGGAGGUGGAAUUCCACGUGUAGCGGUGAAAUGCGUAGAUAUGCGGAGGAACACCGAUGGCGAAGGCAAUCCCCUGGACCUGUACUGACGCUCAUGCACGAAAGCGUGGGGAGCAAACAGG